AAGGAGACGAGGCAGUAAACGUAAACAAAACUCGAUUGCAGCCACAGCAAUCAAAUUUUAUCGAACGUUUACUGUCUCGUCUCCUUGGAUAGAUUGCGUACACGUAUUUACAACGAUUUCAAACGAUCGAGAAUCGAUAGACGUUAGAAGAUAUCGCAUAGUACGAGGUAUCGAUGUUCCACGCAACGUCGCGCAUUCCAAGUCACGGAGUAGUCGUAAUGUUUGCUUUUCCUCGUUCGACGAAUUUCACGAGCGUCGUUUCUACUUGGAGACGGCGCGUAUGGAAAAAAGGCAACAAGGCUAGCAGCGAAGGUUGACCGAAAGUUCGAUCCCGACUUGAUUUUCAUCGGUUUACUCGAGCUAGUCGACGACGAAGCUACCUCCGUAUCGCAACAGUCUCUUCGACCGAGCUCCGAGAGACGAAGUUUGCUCUGUGACGAGAACGUGUCGCGGUGGUUGUCGGAAUUACGCGAGCCCGUAAAUCCAGUGAAAUACAGCUGAAACCGCGGAAGAGAACAACGAAACAAGUCGAUACGUGUGGAAUUUUACGAUGCCUCAUGGCCGUGUCGGGAAUCGACGAAGAAAACUGCCGCGUCGCAAUAGGGGGACCACGCAAGCACGCUGUUUUUAUAAUACACGUUAAAUAACUUUACGAGGCCUCAAGUAUCGUGGCAAAUUGAUUUCGUAACGACAAUCACGGAAUUAACGUACAAUAAAAGUAUCGUGAUGGCAAUUAAGCGGAGCACUUGUUUAACUGUGAACCGCUCACGAUGGUUCAGUCUCGCUUCGGAGCGCCGAAUGAAUGAUACGCAAACAGUAUUCGAUCACUUUAAUUUCGCCGUGACGUUCCGCUUGCUAUGGCGUCGAUCUUCUUCCCCGUCGCUUCGAUCGUCAAGAAUCCGAGUCGCGCCUUUUCGACUGGAAGGUUCUCGAGUCAAGAUACAAAACAGCGAUACAACGAUAUUUGAAUUUAGUUUUCAGCCCAGUUCUCAGCCUACCAACGAACACGUGUAACAGCGAAAGUUGUCUCAUAGCUUACAUAGAUAUCGAAAUGAAACGUCGUGACAGAAGCGAAUCAGAACGACGCUUCUCUCGUCUAACAGCGGGAUUUUGCACGCGCGUGGCGCUUGUGUAUACAACUAUUAAGUGCUUACAUUUAUGCCUCUCAUAAUUGGCUUCGUUAAAUGAAGAGAGUGACUGAGGAAUUAGCUUGCCGGUAAUAACCCGGCUAUUUAUUAACACGUGAAACGAGACGUUAUAGGUCUCGCGAACGAAUAUGCCUGACACACGAGGUGAACGUCUUCUUUGCAUUUUCUUCGUCCAUGUCACCUUGUCGCGGUGAUCCAAGACGGCGAAGACGAUACGCAGAACAAGAUAACGGCACAGAUUCAAAUCUCUCGACUUUGCACCCCUGAUUCUAAUUAUUAAUUAUCCCGAAGAGUGCGAGAGACUCAAGAAGCGGAA
Bombus pyrosoma is the source of this 1464-nucleotide long non-coding RNA. RefSeq lists it as uncharacterized. NCBI's taxonomy places the organism in Eukaryota, Metazoa, Arthropoda, Insecta, Hymenoptera, Apidae. The transcript is spliced from 6 exons. The record is from RefSeq and is a predicted model, not a curated record.